Molecule: long non-coding RNA, 3079 nt
Organism: Mauremys mutica (yellowpond turtle)
Lineage: Eukaryota; Metazoa; Chordata; Testudines; Geoemydidae
Exons: 3
Source: RefSeq, a predicted model, not a curated record
UCCCUUCCCGGCACGCCGCGAUCUUCCCCGGCACCGCGGAGGUUGCGCGGCCCCUGCUGCAAACGCUGGAGUCUCUGCUCCCCGGGGCAGGUCCCUGCGUAGCCAGCCCGGCUCUCUCCCCCCCAGCCCAGCUCUGGCGGAGAGUUCAUGCUCCCGGCCCCCGCCCGCGCUAGCCCCCUUGCCCCGCGCCCUGGGCCGCCUUGCACCAUGUCAAAUGGGGCACUUCCCCGGCCAGGAGCCCGAGGAAAAGCCAGCUGAAAUUCGAUACAUUGGCAGGAGGGAUCACGUGGCCGGCUCUUGGCCAAUGGCCAAGGUUCACUGGGAGAGGGACUGUUUGAUGAGUUAAUGGCAGCAAUUUGUAACUUUCAGUCUCUCUCUGGGCAAACACACAAGAGGGAUGAUAGGAAACAGUUUCUCCAGCAGAUCUCUCUCUGGGCUGCGAGAAAUGGACAUGACUUCAUCCCAACCCCCAACCCCAGCCCACCCCACCAGACCCUCCUGGAAUAUCUGCUGGGAUGCUCAAGCCAAACCUGCCAUUUUCGUCUCAAUCGAAACAUUUUGAAAUGUGUGUCAAUGUUGAUGAAAAUUCCCACAGGAAAAAAAAAAUUGGAAGCUGUUUAAUUUCCAACAGAGAAAGGAGAGACUUUGAUCUAGAAAAGCAGACACCUGAUUCCCCAUUGUCUCUGCAUUGGAUGUUUCUCUAAAAGAUCUGCUCUAGGAAUGAUUUUGGGGACGUUCUAUGGCCUGUGUUAUACAGGAGGUCAGAUCAGAUGAUCACAAUGUUCCCUGCUGGCCUUGGAAUCCAUGAAUCUCUUUCUUUGUGCAUUGAGAUUGGUUUGAUCCUCUGUACAAUUUCCCCCUUUGUUCAGCGAGGAGAACAGAUCCUUGUGGAUGCUGCACGGCAGGAGAAGCCACUGAAGCAUCUCGAAAUAUAAUUAGAAUCUAAAUAUGACACUGCUGAUACAGUUGGAGACCUCGCGCCAUAAAACACCAGGCCUGUGAUUUGUAAAAUUGUACCAGGCAGCCCUAUGUCAUACAGAGUAGGAGAUGCUCCCAGACAUACAGACGUAUGCAAGUGCAUGAUUGCUUAAAGAUUGCCCAUGAGUUUUCAAUUACCUCCUAUUAAUGUAUUUACUCUGUGUAUCUUUCAUCAAGCUACGAGUCGUUUUAUUUUUUGUACAGGGAUGGGUUGAGUUUAGUAAAUGGCACAUAUUUCAAUAUUAAAGCCGUUUACUAUCAUCACAAGCAUGAAAGAUGCCUCAAAUAAGAUGCAGCUGCACGUGAAGUUGUUAGUGUCUGCGUCCCAGGCAGUAUAUCUCCUGUAUUUUAAUUAAGUGGGUGUUCUCUCUCGCUGUGCAUCGUACAUUACCGGCGGUCAUCCCAGAUGUCAGCGAGGAGUUGCCAGAGAAACUAAAAUCCAAAUCAAACCAACAAAAGAGUCUCUGCCAACCAGGACCAACCUGCCCCUUUUGAAGGUUUCUAUCACUACAUGAAUGCCUCUUGGCCCAGGAUUCUGCUAGCCCAGUGGCUGUAUUACCCUAGGAGAAGGCUGGGAACCAGUCUGGGACUCGGGUAUACCUACAUUGGAGGUGUGAUUUCCAGCUGGAGGAGACAUAUCCGCACAAGCUCUGAGCAACCUAGUGCUAAAAGAAGAGAGCGUAGCUAGGCGGCAUGAAUGGGGGGAGAAGCUAACUGCUCCAAGAAUAAUCCUGUCCAAGGCCUUAAGCGUGUAUUCAGACAGCCAGCCUCUCUUGCACGCCCACUCCCAGGGUUAUGAUGACCCUGAUCAGUGCUAAUCUGGGCAUGUCUCCCCCAGCUGGAAAUUACACCGUUCAGCUCCAGGGGAGACAUACGCUCAGAAUCACGGUCUAGUUCCCAGUUAACUCCUGAUCUAAGGGCUUGUCAACAAGGGGAUAUCUAGGAAAGUUAAUCCGCUUUACCUAAAGGUGGGCAUUUGAAGUCAAUUAGUUAACCUGCCCUAUGGGAACACCUUCAUUCAGAAUUAAAGUGGGCUUAAUUCAGUUUAAUAUGAUUCACUUUGGAAGCGCAUUAAAUUAAAGGAAAUUCCGGCCACUUUAAUUCUGAAUGAAACUGUUCACAAUUUCCUGCUAAUGGAUGCCAGCCCUGAGGUCUGGUGGCAAGUUGCUUGGCCUUAAUGCGGGUUAACGAAUCCACUUCAAAUUCACACCUUUAAUUAAUUCAGAUUAAUUUCCCUGCUGGAUGUCCCCAUGUAGACAAGCCUUUUAAAUGGGUGUAGGGAGGAAGUACACUUCACUAGCCCUAUACCCAGUGCAGUAUGCUUAGUUUUCACUGGCUACUGCAUGGGUGAACCAAGUGUGAUGCUGGUAGACCAGGUGCCAGCUCAUGCCACGGCCCCUGGGCCUCAGUGGACACUGACAAAUGCAGAGCUGGGAACCAGUCUGGCUCACCAGUGUGCUAGUAUAGUUCAAAGAGGUAUUAGAGUUAUAAGGAUGUGUUUAGUGUUUAGACUUUAUGAAAUGCUUGUGGGAAGCUACAUGUAUUACUCUUACAUAUAAUAUCUGUACCUCAUGUUAUAAGAUAAUAGUUAAGUGUUUGCUCUGUAACUAUAAAAGUGUUUGCUACAACUGUCACAGUCAGGAAAACAUUACCAAGUGUGAAACGUUAGUUUACCACAAGAGGCGUCCUCUUCUCCUCAACAAAAGAAGGCCUAAAGACACCAGCCAAGUCACUAUGGAACAUCAGUGGACAAAAGACUUUGUCGAUUGCUCCCCGCACACCCAUGAAGAGGAUUCUAGACCGAGCCCUCAUCCCAUCACAGCUUGAAUGCUGAGGGAAGGACCUAAAAAUCCCUGCAAAGGAGUUAUUACCACAGUGCUGCUUGGAAUUCAGAGAGGGGAAGAUUUCUAAGCAUAAGCAAGGGAUCCCUAGCUGUAGGGCUUGGGUUAGCCCUAAAGGACAGACAGUGCUUGCAUAUUAGAAAAGGAGCUAGGGGUUACAGUGGACAAGAAGCUGGAUAUGAGUCAACAGUGUGUCCUCGUUGCCAAGAAGGCUAAUGGGAUUUUAGGCUGUAUAAGCAGGAGCAUUGCCAGCAGAUCGA